CGUCGGCGGCGUGGGCGGGGACGCGGUAGGUGCAGAGAGCGCGACCGGCCUCGAUUAGCGAGACUGAUAGCGGCGACAUGAGGAUGAAGUCGAAGGGACCUCCGGAGACACUGUGUUUACCGGUAACACGGUGGCUCUCCAGCCACUUUCUCGCCUCGGCAGGCGUCUCCGCCUCGGCAGCCAUCUCCGCCACGGCAAAAG
Molecule: unclassified non-coding RNA, 201 nt
Filed under: Hevea brasiliensis (rubber tree)
Lineage: Eukaryota; Viridiplantae; Streptophyta; Magnoliopsida; Malpighiales; Euphorbiaceae
Source: RNAcentral